Molecule: transfer RNA, 74 nt
Filed under: Trichonephila inaurata madagascariensis
Lineage: Eukaryota; Metazoa; Arthropoda; Arachnida; Araneae; Nephilidae
Description: tRNA-Arg
Rfam family: tRNA (bases 5-70)
About the family: Transfer RNA (tRNA) molecules are approximately 80 nucleotides in length. Their secondary structure includes four short double-helical elements and three loops (D, anti-codon, and T loops).
Source: RNAcentral
AUCGCCUGUAGCGUAAUGGAUUGCUCAUUGGACCUCUAAUCCAAAGGUCGUGGAUUCGAAUCCUACCUGGGAUG